This is a long non-coding RNA of Vigna angularis (adzuki bean), 423 nucleotides long. RefSeq lists it as uncharacterized. The record is from RefSeq and is a predicted model, not a curated record. The transcript has 3 exons. NCBI's taxonomy places the organism in Eukaryota, Viridiplantae, Streptophyta, Magnoliopsida, Fabales, Fabaceae.
CAGGUGCUGAAUUUUGAUAGAUUUUCAUGGACGAAGGCAUCGUCAAAGCUUUACUUAUCACCAAGCAGUCUGCCACUGAAGAUUCCAGCAUGCAAGAGCCAUCCUUUGGUAUCCUGGGGAAAAAGGCUCUUCUAAUUGGAGGGAAAACAGACCUGGGGAGUGACAGAAUUUCAGUAUGGGCAUUUGAUACAGAGACGGAGUGCUAGUCACUGAUGGAGGCGAAGGGAGACAUACCAGUAGGGAUAUGCCUUUCAUAACUGCAAAUGCUGCAGUGAUAGAAAUUGCUCUUGGGCAUUGUCCAAACGUUGAAAUCAUAUAUGGCAUCAAUGUCAUAAUCAUUCAGAAAGAUAUAAAGUGUGACUACCAUAGCUAGACAUACAAUUCCAACAAGUUGAUAUUUUUAAACUAAGAACAAAUCUAAAU